RNAcentral lists this ribosomal RNA (430 nucleotides) under Acidobacteriota bacterium. RNAcentral's name for it is "Acidobacteria bacterium partial 16S ribosomal RNA". It matches the Rfam family "Bacterial small subunit ribosomal RNA", at positions 355 to 776 of the family's 1533-position model. Lineage: Bacteria; Pseudomonadati; Acidobacteriota. The record is from RNAcentral.
UGGGGAAUAUUUGACAAUGGGGGGAACCCUGAUCCAGCCAUGCCGCGCGUGUGAAGAAGGCCUUUUGGUUGUAAAGCACUUUAAGCGAGGAGGAGGCUACCGAGAUUAAUACUCUUGGAUAGUGGACGUUACUCGCAGAAUAAGCACCGGCUAACUCUGUGCCAGCAGCCGCGGUAAUACAGAGGGUGCAAGCGUUAAUCGGAUUUACUGGGCGUAAAGCGCGCGUAGGUGGCCAAUUAAGUCAAAUGUGAAAUCCCCGAGCUUAACUUGGGAAUUGCAUUCGAUACUGGUUGGCUAGAGUAUGGGAGGGGAUGGUAGAAUUCCAUGUGUAGCGGUGAAAUGCGUAGAGAUCUGGAGGAAUACCGAUGGCGAAGGCAGCCAUCUGGCCUAAUACUGACACUGAGGUGCGAGAGCAUGGGGAGCAAACAGG